CGCGGCCUAUCAGCUUGUUGGUGAGGUAACGGCUCACCAAGGCAUCGACGGGUAGCUGGUCUGAGAGGACGAUCAGCCACACUGGGACUGAGACACGGCCCAGACUCCUACGGGAGGCAGCAGUAGGGAAUCUUGCGCAAUGGGCGAAAGCCUGACGCAGCAACGCCGCGUGGGGGAUGAAUGCCUUCGGGUUGUAAACCCCUUUCAGCAGGGACGAAAAUGACGGUACCUGCAGAAGAAGCUCCGGCCAACUACGUGCCAGCAGCCGCGGUAAUACGUAGGGAGCGGGCGUUGUCCGGAAUUAUUGGGCGUAAAGAGCUCGUAGGCGGUUCAGUAAGUCGGGUGUGAAAACUCAAGGCUCAACCUUGAGACGCCACUCGAUACUGCUGUGACUUGAGUCCGGUAGAGGAGUGUGGAAUUCCUGGUGUAGCGGUGAAAUGCGCAGAUAUCAGGAGGAACACCAGCGGCGAAGGCGGCACUCUGGGCCGGUACUGACGCUGAGGAGCGAAAGCAUGGGGAGCAAACAGGAUUAGAUACCCUGGUAGUCCAUGCCGUAAACGUUGGGCACUAGGUAUGGGAUCAUAUCAACGGAUUCCGUGCCGUAGCUAACGCAUUAAGUGCCCCGCCUGGGGAGUACGG
Molecule: ribosomal RNA, 639 nt
Filed under: uncultured Actinomycetes bacterium
Lineage: Bacteria; Bacillati; Actinomycetota; Actinomycetes
Description: bacterial SSU rRNA
Rfam family: Bacterial small subunit ribosomal RNA
Source: RNAcentral